UACGUAGGGGGCUAGCGUUGUCCGGAAUCAUUGGGCGUAAAGAGCGUGUAGGCUGCUCGGUAAGUCCGCUGUAAAAGUCAAAGGCUCAACCUUUGAAUGUCAGUGGAUACUGCCGGGCUAGAGUCCGGAAGAGGCGAGUGGAACUCCUGGUGUAGCGGUGGAAUGCGUAGAGAUCAGGAAGAACACCGGUGGCGAAAGCGCUCUGCUAGGCCGCAACUGACACUGAGGGACGAAAGCUAGGGGAGCGAAUGGG
Molecule: ribosomal RNA, 253 nt
Filed under: uncultured bacterium
Lineage: Bacteria
Description: partial 16S ribosomal RNA
Rfam family: Bacterial small subunit ribosomal RNA
Source: RNAcentral